This 374-nucleotide ribosomal RNA is filed under the name Campylobacter jejuni Cj2. RNAcentral's name for it is "bacterial LSU rRNA". It matches the Rfam family "Bacterial large subunit ribosomal RNA", at positions 531 to 902 of the family's 2925-position model. Lineage: Bacteria; Pseudomonadati; Campylobacterota; Epsilonproteobacteria; Campylobacterales; Campylobacteraceae. The record is from RNAcentral.
GAUCAGAGUGAAAUAGAACCUGAAACCAUUUGCUUACAAUCAUUCAGAGCCCUAUGUAGCAAUACAGGGUGAUGGACUGCCUUUUGCAUAAUGAGCCUGCGAGUUGUGGUGUCUGGCAAGGUUAAGCAAACGCGAAGCCGUAGCGAAAGCGAGUCUGAAUAGGGCGCUUAGUCAGAUGCUGCAGACCCGAAACGAAGUGAUCUAUCCAUGAGCAAGUUGAAGCUAGUGUAAGAACUAGUGGAGGACUGAACCCAUAGGCGUUGAAAAGCCCCGGGAUGACUUGUGGAUAGGGGUGAAAGGCCAAUCAAACUUCGUGAUAGCUGGUUCUCUCCGAAAUAUAUUUAGGUAUAGCGUUGUGUCGUAAUAUAAGGGGG